AUCACUAUAUCUACUUAUCAAUUAUGCAUGACAUUGUAAUGCAACCCAAUGAUAAAAUCAUAUGCAUAGUCUCGGAGCAUUUAAUCUUACUCAGCACGCUCAAUCACUCGGUAUUCAUAGUCAAUCAAAUCUCUCAAUCACUCGGCACUCAAUAGGUACAUGCGCUCACUGUUGGUAUGUCAGACUCCAGAGGGGCAGAUCCUGCCCAAGUGCUAAUAUAAGCCAAUCAUGACAUAAAUCAAUAAAGCUUGUUGUGAAGUGUAACCCGAUCCUAUAAAUAUGACUCACAAUCAGGCCUUAGGCCUCACUCAGUCAUCAAUUUCUUCAGUCUCUCGGGCACAAAAAUCUAUCACGAC
This 356-nucleotide long non-coding RNA is filed under the name Nicotiana benthamiana. RNAcentral describes it as "long non-coding RNA (NBEN_LNC027077)". Lineage: Eukaryota; Viridiplantae; Streptophyta; Magnoliopsida; Solanales; Solanaceae. The record is from RNAcentral.